GACGAACGCUGGCGGCGUGCUUAACACAUGCAAGUCGAGCGGUAAGGCCCUUUCGGGGGUACACGAGCGGCGAACGGGUGAGUAACACGUGGGUGACCUGCCCUCAGCUCUGGGAUAAGCCUGGGAAACCGGGUCUAAUACUGGAUAUGACUCCAUGACGCAUGUUGUGGGGUGGAAAGCCUUGUGCGGCUGAGGAUGGGCCCGCGGCCUAUCAGCUUGUUGGUGGGGUGAGGCCUACCAAGGCGACGACGGGUAGCCGGCCUGAGAGGGCGACCGGCCACACUGGGACUGAGACACGGCCCAGACUCCGUACGGGAGCAGCAGGUGGGGAAUCUUGCGCAAGUGGGCGAAAGCCUGACGCAGCGACGCCGCGUGA
This 376-nucleotide ribosomal RNA is filed under the name uncultured bacterium. RNAcentral describes it as "bacterial SSU rRNA". It matches the Rfam family "Bacterial small subunit ribosomal RNA", at positions 28 to 404 of the family's 1533-position model. The record is from RNAcentral.